This 1140-nucleotide long non-coding RNA is filed under the name Homo sapiens (human). RNAcentral describes it as "HSALNT0356535". The record is from RNAcentral. Lineage: Eukaryota; Metazoa; Chordata; Mammalia; Primates; Hominidae.
GUGAUCCACCCGCUUUAGCCUCCCAAACUGCUGGAAUUACAGGUGUGAGCCACCACACCUGCCCCGGGGGAAAUGGCUUUCUUUAAAUGCUUUGAAACAGAUCUCUUAGAAACUGCUCUAACAUAAUGAAUAUUAUCCACCUGUGUAAUAUAAGACUUUCUUUGAACACAUAGUUGAAAACAAUCCACUUUUAUUUGUAUUUACUCAUCAAUGAGCCUCAGAGGAUAAUAUUAUCUAUCCUACAUCCAUAAAACUAUAUAGAAGAAACUGUGCAAUGGAUCUUUAUUCUAAUCUGGGAGUGGAUGAACCACAUCUACGGAUUUUUAAUUCUUUUUUGUCUUCUCUUAUUGGCCACUCAAUAACUAAUACUUCAAAGGACUUGGUCAGUUUUUCUACUAGGUCUCAGAGCCUACAACAAUACCUGGGAUAAAGAUAGGAUAAACAAGUGUUUAUUGAGUGAAUGCUGACUACCUGAACAAAAAGAAUACCUUUGUGGUUAUAAACUCAAGCCUUUAAUAAAACAGAAUUGUCCUUCAAGGGCCAGGGUUGCAGUGUGCCUGUGCUUGUAUGCAGACGAACAUCCGUGUCAUCACCAGUCCUAACAGUGACUUAUUUUAAGAUGCUAGCUCUUCUUGGUGGAGAACUUGAUCAUGAAAAACUUCCUAAAAUCCUACUACACAAUUAACACCUUUGGGUGCAUGGGCAGUCCCUUUUCUUCCCAAUCACUCUAUUGGAACAUUAAUGAGGAAAACCAAUAAGGGUUAGAAGUAUAUUGAUCAUUGCUAGAAAAUGCGGUCCUAGUCCAACCACACAGAAUCAGUCCCAGAAUACAGAUAUCCCUGGGAAUGGAAUACCUAGGACCUAACAUUUUAUUUAUUAAUUUCACAGAUAUUUAUUUAACAUCGACUACAUGCCAGACAGUGUUCUAGGCCCAAGAGACACAGCUAAGUCUGCGCUUUCGUGAAUUGGUAGUACGUCAAGUGGUGAUGAGUUCUCUAAAGAGAAAUAAAGCAGAGUAAGGAGCAGGGGGAGACGGAGCGUGCAGCAUGGUUAUAUAAUGUGGCUCUCAAGGAAGGACAGGGAGGGAGAUGGGAGCAAGCCACACAGCCAUGUGGGGAAAGAACAUCCCACACAGAGGGC